Molecule: ribosomal RNA, 260 nt
Filed under: uncultured bacterium
Lineage: Bacteria
Description: partial 16S ribosomal RNA
Rfam family: Bacterial small subunit ribosomal RNA
Source: RNAcentral
CCUACGGGACGCAGCAGUGAGGAAUAUUGGUCAAUGGCCGAAGGGCUGAACCAGCCAAGCCGCGUGAAGGAAUAAGGCCCUACGGGUCGUAAACUUCUUUCGUCAGGGAACAAAGGGAGCCACGCGUGGCGCUGUGAGUGUACCUGAAGAAUAAGCAUCGGCUAGCUCCGUGCCAGCAGCCGCGGUAAUACGUAGGAUGCGAUCGUUAUCCGGAUUUAUUGGGUUUAAAGGGUGCGUCUGCUGUUUGUCACGUCCUCGGU